UAAGAAUGGAUUUACUUUAUAAUUCUUGAUUAGAUAGAAUGUCUCUGCUAAAUGAAAGUACAAAGAACACACACACACAUUUACAUUAGUGUGAUCAUCAUCAGCCUCUGAUCUCUCUCUCUCUCUCUCUCUCUCUCUCACACACACACACACACACACACACACACACAGAGAGAGAGAGAGAGAGAGAGAGGGAGAGAGCAGGAGGAACACUCUUUCCUCGUCCAGACGCGUCUCAGGCGCACAGACAGCUGCAGGAGGUGAUGCUGUCUCCUGAGGAGUCUUGAGACGCGGACAGACAGACACUGAUGACUUCACACACACUGCUGCUCUACGGGCUCGGACUCACUUUAUCCACACUGCUUUCCACACAGGUCUCCGGCCUGCAGUGUUACGGCUGUAAUGUCUUCCAUGGGCAGAGGUAUGUGGACGUGGGCUGCAGUAAUCCAGAGGUCAUCACGUGCACACUCUCACACAAGGACUUCAAGCACCGCUUCUGCAUCAAGACCGAGAGCACGGCGCUGGGCAUGGUCCUCACCAGCGGCUGUGCCACCUCUCGUCACUGUCAGCAGCAGGAGCUGCCCGGAGUCUCCAUCCACUGCUGUGACUCAGACCUGUGCAACAGCGCUCUUCACUGCUCUUCACUGCGGCGCACGCUCCUGCUGCUGCUCGUGCUCGCGCAGAGGUGCUUCUGAUGCACCGCUAGGCCUGCCACAAUCAUCCGAUGCUCUGCGAAUCGGGUAAUACUCUGCAUCUUUUCUGAGACUCUCGGAAUGCAUCAGGAUUCUCUCUGGAAUCGAUUCUGAGCUGAGUUUCUAACAGCAGACAGCACUGCAUGCUUUAGAAUCACUGCAAGAGAUGGGUUUCUUAGUAUUUUUGUCCUGUUUUCUAGUAUAAAUAUCUAAACAUAUUGAAUCAAGUUGCAUUCACAUGAGAAGUAAAAUUACUUAAAAUGAAGUCUUGUUUUCUAAAAAAAAAAAAAUUACAAAUCUAUGAAAAUGUUUCUAGU
Long non-coding RNA from Cyprinus carpio (common carp), 1009 nucleotides. The record is from Ensembl. Lineage: Eukaryota; Metazoa; Chordata; Actinopteri; Cypriniformes; Cyprinidae.